ACGUGGUUUAAUUCGAUGCAAACCGAAGAACCUUUACCUGGGGUUUGACAUGCAGGUGGUAGAGAGAAGAGAUUUAAUCGACUCUGCAGUAAUGCAGAGAGCCUGCACAGGUGCUGCAUGGCUGUCGUCAGCUCGUGUCGUGAAAUGUUGGGUUAAGUCCCGCAACGAGCGCAACCCCUAUUGCCAGUUGCUAACAGGAGAGCUGAGCACUCUGGCGAGACUGCCGCCGACAAGGCGGAGGAAGGUGGGGAUGACGUCAAGUCAUCAUGGCCUUUAUGCCCAGGGCUACACACGUGCUACAAUGGCCGGCACAGACGGCAGCUUAGUGGCGACACUUGGCAAAUCCUCUAAAGCCGGUCCCAGUUCGGAUUGCAGUCUGCAACUCGACUGCAUGAAGCCGGAAUCGCUAGUAAUCGCAGAUCAGCCAAGCUGCGGUGAAUACGUUCCCGGGCCUU
RNAcentral lists this ribosomal RNA (455 nucleotides) under uncultured Synergistaceae bacterium. Its description in RNAcentral is "bacterial SSU rRNA". It matches the Rfam family "Bacterial small subunit ribosomal RNA", at positions 939 to 1382 of the family's 1533-position model. Lineage: Bacteria; Thermotogati; Synergistota; Synergistia; Synergistales; Synergistaceae. The record is from RNAcentral.